Molecule: unclassified non-coding RNA, 332 nt
Filed under: soil metagenome
Description: partial contains 5.8S ribosomal RNA, internal transcribed spacer 2, and large subunit ribosomal RNA
Rfam family: 5.8S ribosomal RNA (bases 1-120)
Source: RNAcentral
GAUGAAGAACGUAGCGAAAUGCGGUAAGUAAUGUGAAUUGCAGAAUUCAGUGAAUCAUCGAAUCUUUGAACGCACAUUGCGCCCGCCAGUAUUCUGGCGGGCAUGCCUGUCCGAGCGUCAUUUCAACCAUCAAGCCCCGGGCUUGUGUUGGGGACCUGCGUCCGACGCAGGCCCUGAAAACCAGUGGCGGGCUCGCUGUCCACACCGAGCGUAGUAACUAACCUCGCUAUGGAGUGGCGCGGGCGCCUGCCGUAAAACCCCCAAUUUCACAAGGUUGACCUCGGAUCAGGUAGGAAUACCCGCUGAACUUAAGCAUAUCAAUAAGCGGAGGA